ACUUUCUUAGUAUAACUAAUAUAACUGACUUCCAAUCAGUAGACUCCGAAAAAUGCUCGGAAGAAAGUA
Molecule: transfer RNA, 69 nt
Filed under: Niviventer excelsior (large white-bellied rat)
Lineage: Eukaryota; Metazoa; Chordata; Mammalia; Rodentia; Muridae
Description: tRNA-Gly
Source: RNAcentral